RNAcentral lists this ribosomal RNA (685 nucleotides) under Gordonia sp. 11535. RNAcentral's name for it is "bacterial SSU rRNA". It matches the Rfam family "Bacterial small subunit ribosomal RNA", at positions 56 to 755 of the family's 1533-position model. Lineage: Bacteria; Bacillati; Actinomycetota; Actinomycetes; Mycobacteriales; Gordoniaceae. The record is from RNAcentral.
UGCAGUCGAACGGAAAGGCCCAGCUUGCUGGGUACUCGAGUGGCGAACGGGUGAGUAACACGUGGGUGAUCUGCCCUGCACUCUGGGAUAAGCCUGGGAAACUGGGUCUAAUACCGGAUAUGACCAACUGUCGCAUGGUGGUUGGUGGAAAGCUUUUGCGGUGUGGGAUGGGCCCGCGGCCUAUCAGCUUGUUGGUGGGGUAAUGGCCUACCAAGGCGACGACGGGUAGCCGACCUGAGAGGGUGAUCGGCCACACUGGGACUGAGACACGGCCCAGACUCCUACGGGAGGCAGCAGUGGGGAAUAUUGCACAAUGGGCGCAAGCCUGAUGCAGCGACGCCGCGUGAGGGAUGACGGCCUUCGGGUUGUAAACCUCUUUCACCAGGGACGAAGCGGAAGUGACGGUACCUGGAGAAGAAGCACCGGCCAACUACGUGCCAGCAGCCGCGGUAAUACGUAGGGUGCGAGCGUUGUCCGGAAUUACUGGGCGUAAAGAGCUCGUAGGCGGUUUGUCGCGUCGUCUGUGAAAUUCUGCAACUCAAUUGCAGGCGUGCAGGCGAUACGGGCAGACUUGAGUACUACAGGGGAGACUGGAAUUCCUGGUGUAGCGGUGAAAUGCGCAGAUAUCAGGAGGAACACCGGUGGCGAAGGCGGGUCUCUGGGUAGUAACUGACGCUGAGGAGCG